This 497-nucleotide ribosomal RNA is filed under the name uncultured bacterium. RNAcentral's name for it is "partial 16S ribosomal RNA". It matches the Rfam family "Bacterial small subunit ribosomal RNA", at positions 28 to 507 of the family's 1533-position model. The record is from RNAcentral.
GACGAACGCUGGCGGCGUGCCUAACACAUGCAAGUAGAACGCUGAAGAGAGGAGCUUGCUCUUCUUGGAUGAGUUGCGAACGGGUGAGUAACGCGUAGGUAACCUGCCUUGUAGCGGGGGAUAACUAUUGGAAACGAUAGCUAAUACCGCAUAACAAUGGAUGACACAUGUCAUUUAUUUGAAAGGGGCAAUUGCUCCACUACAAGAUGGACCUGCGUUGUAUUAGCUAGUAGGUGAGGUAAUGGCUCACCUAGGCGACGAUACAUAGCCGACCUGAGAGGGUGAUCGGCCGCACUGGGACUGAGACACGGCCCAGACUCCUACGGGAGGCAGCAGUAGGGAAUCUUCGGCAAUGGGGGCAACCCUGACCGAGCAACGCCGCGUGAGUGAAGAAGGUUUUCGGAUCGUAAAGCUCUGUUGUAAGUCAAGAACGGGUGUGAGAGUGGAAAGUUCACACUGUGACGGUAGCUUACCAGAAAGGGACGGCUAACUACGUG